CGGGAGCCUGAUGCAGCAACGCCGCGUGAGGGAUGACGGCCUUCGGGUUGUAAACCUCUUUUAGCAGGGAAGAAGCGAAAGUGACGGUACCUGCAGAAAAAGCGCCGGCUAACUACGUGCCAGCAGCCGCGGUAAUACGUAGGGCGCAAGCGUUAUCCGGAAUUAUUGGGCGUAAAGAGCUCGUAGGCGGUUUGUCGCGUCUGCUGUGAAAACCCGAGGCUCAACCUCGGGCCUGCAGUGGGUACGGGCAGACUAGAGUGCGGUAGGGGAGAUUGGAAUUCCUGGUGUAGCGGUGGAAUGCGCAGAUAUCAGGAGGAACACCGAUGGCGAAGGCAGAUCUCUGGGCCGUUACUGACGCUGAGGAGCGAAAGGGUGGGGAGCAAACAGGCUUAGAUACCCUGGUAGUCCACCCCGUAAACGUUGGGAACUAGUUGUGGGGGCCUUUCCACGGUCUCCGUGACGCAGCUAACGCAUUAAGUUCCCCGCCUGGGGAGUACGGCCGCAAGGCUAAAACUCAAAUGAAUUGACGGGGA
Molecule: ribosomal RNA, 533 nt
Filed under: Microbacterium oryzae
Lineage: Bacteria; Bacillati; Actinomycetota; Actinomycetes; Micrococcales; Microbacteriaceae
Description: bacterial SSU rRNA
Rfam family: Bacterial small subunit ribosomal RNA
Source: RNAcentral